UAAUACGAAGGGGGCUAGCGUUGUUCGGAAUUACUGGGCGUAAAGCGCGCGCAGGCGGCUAUCCAAGUCAGUGGUGAAAGCCCGGAGCUCAACUCCGGAACUGCCAUUGAAACUGUUUAGCUUGAGGACGAGAGAGGUGAGUGGAAUUCCCAGUGUAGAGGUGAAAUUCGUAGAUAUUGGGAAGAACACCGGUGGCGAAGGCGGCUCACUGGCUCGUAUCUGACGCUCAGGCGCGAUAGCGUGGGGAUCAAACAGG
RNAcentral lists this ribosomal RNA (256 nucleotides) under uncultured bacterium. RNAcentral describes it as "partial 16S ribosomal RNA". It matches the Rfam family "Bacterial small subunit ribosomal RNA", at positions 521 to 776 of the family's 1533-position model. The record is from RNAcentral.